AUUGAACGCUGGCGGCAUGCUUUACACAUGCAAGUCGAACGGUAACAGGCCGCAAGGUGCUGACGAGUGGCGAACGGGUGCGUAAUGCAUCGGAACGUGCCCAGUCGUGGGGGAUAACUACUCGAAAGAUUAGCUAAUACCGCAUACGAUCUUUGGAUGAAAGCGGGGGACCGUAAGGCCUCGCGCGAUUGGAGCUGCCGAUGUCAGAUUAGGUAGUUGGUGGGGUAAAGGCUCACCAAGCCAACGAUCUGUAGCUGGUCUGAGAGGAUGACCAGCCACACUGGGACUGAGACACGGCACAGACUCCUACGGGCGGCAGAAGUGGGGAAGUUUGGAAGAUGGGCGCAAGACUGAUCCAGCAAUGCAGCGUGCAGGAAGAAGGGCUUCGGGUUGUAAAAUGCUUUUGUACGGAAAGAAACGGCUCUGGUUAAUACCCGGGGCUAAUGACGGUACCGUAAGAAUAAGCACCGGCUAACUACGUG
This 482-nucleotide ribosomal RNA is filed under the name uncultured bacterium. RNAcentral's name for it is "partial 16S ribosomal RNA". It matches the Rfam family "Bacterial small subunit ribosomal RNA", at positions 30 to 507 of the family's 1533-position model. The record is from RNAcentral.